Molecule: long non-coding RNA, 222 nt
Filed under: Elaeis guineensis (African oil palm)
Lineage: Eukaryota; Viridiplantae; Streptophyta; Magnoliopsida; Arecales; Arecaceae
Description: long non-coding RNA (EGUI_LNC060140)
Source: RNAcentral
CAUUUGAGAGCCAAUUGUAAAAUUGUUAGCCGAGGAUCUAAUUUUAGACGGUUGGACAGAGCUAAUCGAGUAACACAGAUCCAGCAGGGUUCUAGAUUGUCUAUUGGAAUCCAUUUCUUCCUCAGUGACCUUAUAGGCUUAUAGGCUUUAGAUUGUAUCUGGCAAUCAUCAUUUUAUCCUAGUAGUUUUUUUUAAUUUUUUUUUAUAUGAGAGUAAAAGAGG